UCCUUUGUGCUAGGCAGGGUUUCAGUUUUGCACAGAGGUUCCAAUUCCAGGGCCAACUGGCCAACGCUAAAACUUGGAAUGGUGCUUACAUUUCAGGAACUUUAGUGGCUGCGGCCUCAGAGAGUCUCUGGUAUUGGCCACAACUCUGUCCCUUUGUUUUGUAACUUUUAUCCCUUUGUCCUGCUAGAGAAAGACCAGGCUCCCUGCAUCUGGGGUAGGGCAGUAAGUACCUCUGUGUUCUGACGUCUGCACCUCCGUAUUUGUAGGAAAAAUAAUUCCAGGAUUAAUGAAACGUAGGUCGGCCCCUUGUGUUCCCCUCUCCUCCCACCGUUAUUAGGCUCUAGCGCUCCGAGCCCGGCCUGGCAAACGUGCCGAUGCGAUGCUACAGGAUCCUCGCUCCUGAGAACACAUCUGCAUCCCCGUCCCCGGGAAAUCCGGACACCCCGCAAAACCAUCCAUGUCUGCUGCAAGCCCAAGUGAUAAGGCAAUUGAUCCACCCUCUCGCCAGAUUAAUUAUCCUGGCUUCCCGGUGAUUAAACCGAAAACUUACUGCCUCCUAUUAAACAGGCAGGAACGAUUUUAAGAAGGAAACAAGAAAAGAUUUCACAGCCAUCUAAACAAGAUUUCUUUAGGGGGAAACCAAGGGGAAGACUUUAGGCAAAUCUAUACCCUCCUGCAGCAGGGUUUCAGCAACCACCCACCCCCUGACUCCCACCCCUUAGGGACGACCGGCCGUCAUGCAGGGAUAGUAUUAAAUAAUUAAAAGAUGCAAAUUCUUAAUAGCAGCGUGAUGGCCCGUGCAAUUCCUGCUGCAUUGCCGGCAAAAGCAACAGGGCUUCUUCUAGCAUCUACAAAACCUUUCACCCGGGAGAGAGAGGCGCGUGCAGCCCCCGGCGAAAGCUGGGCCUUGGCAAGAAAGGGACAGGGAUGCCGGACCCGCAGGCGCCCCCCCCCCACCCCACUUUCUCUGGGGACUCUGCUUCCUGGCGCGAGGCGGGCCGAGGCGGGCCCUUCUGCAGCUCCGCCGGGUAGGGGCCAGGGGGUUGGGGGGAAGGAACCUCGCCUGCCCGCCCUCCCCAUCCGGCCGGCUUCUCCGCGCUUCCCACCGCCCGGCUCGCGUUGCGGGGCAAAGCGCAAGGAGGGAGGCCGAGCGUGCCGGGAACCGGAGAAGCUAGGCGCGCUCCGAAAGGAGGCGCAGGUUUCGGGGGAGGUUUGGUUCGCAAAGUUAACGUUGACCCUGGCAGCUUUCCUGCCGAGCGCUAGCCAGAGCCGAGCCCGAGCCUGAGCCGCUCACAGACCUGCCCCUGCUCUCAGGGGAAGCCCACGGGCGGACGCCGGAGCCCCCGGGGAGACUCUGGCUGGAGGGCUGGAGCGCGCACCGCAGUCGGCGGCCGCAAACCCACGCGAUUAAAGUGCGGGGAAAAGCCUCCCCGAGCUUGCUUCCUUCUGUUUCCCGGGGCUUCCCCGGCAGUCUCGACUGGAAGCACUAAGCCCCGGGGAGCGAUCGGCUGGGAUCCAGGAGGCAGGGGUGGACAAAAUUGCACAUGGUGGGCGGUGGUAUCUAGGGAAAUGUCGGCUGAAGGUCCUCCAGGGCCAUUGUAGAGUAACUUCACUUUGAAAGAACACGAUGUGAUGUAAGACCCCUUCUCUAUCUUUCUGUCAAGCACCUUUGUGAUCCUGAGAGUCACCAUGUUUAUAUCAGGACAGGCUAUCUAAUGCUGCAGUCACAAAUUAACCAGAAAAUAUCAGAAACUUAACAUGUUAAAGUGUAUUCUUACUCACAAAUCCACUGCUUGGAAGACUCUCCAGAGAAGAUAUCCUCAUUGCAGUAACAACUCAAGAUGCUCUGGCUUCAGCUGUACCACUGAAAUGUUUAUGUCCAUGUAGUAAGCAAAGAGAGAAGGUCUGGAGGAUUGUGCAUUGGCUUUGAAAUCUUUGCCAAAUCCCUUGGUCAGACAGAAUUCAUCACGUGGCCUUACUUCUUUCAAGGGGCUGAGAAAUGUGAAGUAGGACAUAGGCAUUUGGAGAAGAGCGAAGGUCUCUGCUGCAGUCAGGUUCGGAGAAUCAUUUACCUCUAUGUUUCUUUUCUUUCCUGGAAGUUCGUGGAUCCAAUAUGUUACAGAGAGAUUUAACCUUCUGUUUUUAUGGGAAGUGAUCUACUGUGACAACUCUGCCCCACCAUAUAAUGCUUUUCCUUGUUUUCUCUUUGACCAGCAUGCUGAAACGUUUGCAUGAAAAGCAUGAAGCCAUAAUAUUGAGGUUGAUUCGAUGGUUCUGCUAUCACUUCUCUUAGUUGCUUUUUCAAUUCCUUUGAGUUAACAUCCUGUAAGUUGGUCCCAGCCAGAAGGCUUUGCAUUCCCACCUGAACUUGCUGCCAGCUGGGUGCCAACCUCAUGCCUGCUGGUGUGGUGUGCGGGAAGGCAGAAGUUUUAAGGUUCUAGCUGCAGUGGUUAUGAGCCCAUUCUGGAGUCAGAUUGUCUGGCUUCAGAUCCAAGCUCCAUCAUUUACUAGGUAUACUAGCUUGGUAAGUGACUUAACCUCUCUGAACCUAAUUUCCUGUUGAGCACAAUAGAGGUAAUUAUAGUCUCUACCUCAUGGGGCUGUCAUAAGUAUUAAAAAUGAUAAUCCACGUAAGUGCUUAGCACAGGGUCUCGCAUAUGGAGAGCAACCGAUAUACUUCGUCUGCUUUUUAUAAUGGGAUGUCUUUGAGACUGCUGAUCUGCCAAUACCUAAUAAAAAGAAACUCCUCUCUCUGCCUUGCCUUACCCAGAGUAAUGGAUUUCACCAUUAUAUGCUGAGAAAGAAGCUUUUUUUUCUGUGCCUUCAAAUCAAUCAAUUUCAAUUCAUUUCCCCACCUUCUUGUAAAGCCAGCUUUGACCCCAUCUUUCAACUCUAAACGAUGAUUUUAUGAAAGUUAAAAUGAAAUUAG
This is a non-coding RNA of Microcebus murinus (gray mouse lemur), 2929 nucleotides long. Lineage: Eukaryota; Metazoa; Chordata; Mammalia; Primates; Cheirogaleidae. The record is from RefSeq and is a predicted model, not a curated record.